Molecule: ribosomal RNA, 396 nt
Filed under: uncultured bacterium
Lineage: Bacteria
Description: bacterial SSU rRNA
Rfam family: Bacterial small subunit ribosomal RNA
Source: RNAcentral
GACGAACGCUGGCGGCGUGCUUAACACAUGCAAGUCGAGCGGUAAGGCCCUUUCGGGGGUACACGAGCGGCGAACGGGUGAGUAACACGUGGGUGACCUGCCCUCAGCUCUGGGAUAAGCCUGGGAAACUGGGUCUAAUACUGGAUAUGACUCCACGGUGCAUGUCGUGGGGUGGAAAGCCUUGUGCGGCUGAGGAUGGGCCCGCGGCCUAUCAGCUUGUUGGUGGGGGAUGGCCUACCAAGGCGACGACGGGUAGCCGGCCUGAGAGGGCGACCGGCCACACUGGGACUGAGACACGGCCCAGACUCCUACGGGAGGCAGCAGUGGGGAAUCUUGCGCAAUGGGCGAAAGCCUGACGCAGCGACGCCGCGUGAGGGAUGACGGCCUGGUUGUAAC